RNAcentral lists this long non-coding RNA (614 nucleotides) under Linum usitatissimum (flax). Its description in RNAcentral is "long non-coding RNA (LUSI_LNC001986)". The record is from RNAcentral. Lineage: Eukaryota; Viridiplantae; Streptophyta; Magnoliopsida; Malpighiales; Linaceae.
UUUAGUUUAAGUCUUCUUACGACGGGUAUAUUUUCAAUAGAUCUGGUCAUUUUCAACCUUGUUAUGAUUUAGAAACUAAUCAGAUCUGAUUUUAGAUCUAAAAAACACUCGUCUUUUAUAGAUCUAGGUGUGGUAAUCCUUUCUAACUCUCCGUUAUGUUGGUGCGGAUCUUCUUCUUCUAUCGCAUUGGUCAACGUGAAUCCUUUCUGAAGAUCCGUUUCCAAUUAAAGCACUUGAUUUGUAUUUGUUAAAAUUUUUAUCGUUGGUCAUAGAAUUUAUUUGUAAUUCCAAGUCAAAAUAAAAUUUUAAAACCUGUCAGAUAAACACAAUUCUGAUUUCAGUUUUCAAUUUUGCAAAAUUUUUCAAGAAGUGAAGUAAACAUGUUUUUGUUUACAGUUAAUGUUUUUUGUUGUUUCUGUUUUUUCCUCUUUCAAUUUUGACGUCCACGCUGCUCUUUCUUGUCCUUCUUCUUUACUUGCUUUUCAUUUGUCUUUAUCUUGUUCAGUAAGUCCUUUGCACGCCUUUUAUUCUCUUGCUGCAUCCCUUGCUGCAUCAUCAUCCACUGACAAUAUAGCAAGUCCUGCUGCUGCUGCUGGCCUAUAGCCGGCUGCUGC